AGGAGAGAGCUUCUCCUGAAAACAAGACCAAGAUUUUGCUUUAAAGUGUGUGCAUGUCUGUUUGAGAGAGAACGUAGACCAGAAUUAAAGAUCUAUCAAGAGAGCACAAGCUUUCUUCUCUCCUCAGAGACUGUAAAACUGCACCCAGGAAAGCUCCCCUGUCCACUGAUGAUGUCUUGGCUCCCACCACUCGCCUCAUCAGGAAGAGAAGAGAGGAGCUGGACAUACACAAGGCCAUGGAGGCCCUUCAAGAGGACUUUGACAUGACCCUGAUGGCCCAGCGUGUCAGAGAUAAAGAGCUGAAGGAGAGGGAGGUUAAGUUAAAGUAAUACCUCAGGAACUUCGACACAUUUCUCCAGGUAACCUCCUCUAGGUUGAGAGGUCCGGUAGUAGGACCUUAGUAGUAGGACCUCAACCUAUUAAUAUUUUCCAUUGAACUCAGAGACAGGAGUUCCACACCAUACAAACUGUUUCUACUAACCAAUCCCCUCCUGCCUUUCUCAGGAGAAUAAAUUGAAAAAACGUCAGUGCGUUGAAGAAAGCGGUGAAGGAGAGAGAGCUAGCUCGUCAGAAAGCAGCAAACCUACUCAUCCUGAGACAGGAGCUCAAGGCUCUCACUAAAGAGAGAGAAAAGAUUGCUGCUCUCGUAGAGAAACAUGAAAUCUACCCCCGCUUUCUAGAUAAAGUGGUUAUAGCCAGCAAACAGGUAAUGAGAGAUAUGAUAAGAUGGAAGAGACCAUCUCCCCGUAGAGGGGUGUCAGGUUUGUAUAGUUGAGGAGGCAGUGUGAGCUAAUUCUCUGGUCUGGUGUUGGCUUGGUGGUACUGGCACUGAUACUGAGAUUUCUAAGACUCUCCAUGGGUUUGUAACGUAUUUGUAACGUAUUUAAUGGAACCACUACUUUGUAUCCUUUUCUCUCUCCCUCUCCUCCAACACUA
Molecule: long non-coding RNA, 936 nt
Organism: Coregonus clupeaformis (lake whitefish)
Lineage: Eukaryota; Metazoa; Chordata; Actinopteri; Salmoniformes; Salmonidae
Exons: 3
Source: RefSeq, a predicted model, not a curated record